Molecule: ribosomal RNA, 460 nt
Filed under: uncultured bacterium
Lineage: Bacteria
Description: partial 16S ribosomal RNA
Rfam family: Bacterial small subunit ribosomal RNA
Source: RNAcentral
CCUACGGGUGGCUGCAGUGAGGAAUAUUGGUCAAUGGACGAAAGUCUGAACCAGCCAAGCCGCGUGAAGGAUGACUGUACUCUGUGUUGUAAACUUCUUUUUUCUGGGAAUAAAGUCACGGUAGCUUCCUGGCAUGUCUGUACCAUAUACAUAAGCAUCGGCUAACUCCGUGCCAGCAGCCGCGGUAAUACGGAGGGUCCGAGCGUUAUCCGGAUUUAUUGGGUGUAAAGGGAGCGUAGGCGGACGCUUAAGUCAGUGGUGAAAGUUUCGGGCUCAACCGGGUGACUGCAGUUGAAACUGGCUGUCUUGAGUGAAGGAGAGGUAGGCGGAAUGCGGGGUGUAGCGGUGAAAUGCGUAGAUAUCACGAAGAACACCGAUUGCGAAGGCAGCAUACUGGACUUUAACUGACGCUGAGGCUCGAAAGUGUGGGUAUCGAACAGGAUUAGAUACCCCUGUAGUC